This is a long non-coding RNA of Xiphophorus hellerii (green swordtail), 1697 nucleotides long. RefSeq lists it as uncharacterized. Lineage: Eukaryota; Metazoa; Chordata; Actinopteri; Cyprinodontiformes; Poeciliidae. The record is from RefSeq and is a predicted model, not a curated record. The transcript is spliced from 2 exons.
GACACCUGGAAAGGUGAAAAUGUUCGCAACUAAGUAUAAUCCAUUGAAAUAACAGUUUUAGUAUUGAUGUGUUAUGCAUUAGGACACUGUUUUAAAACUAGCAGCCACCAAGGGGCGCUGUGGAGGAUUCACAAGAUGAGAAAAGGGAGGGAAGAUGAGAAAAAAAAGCAAAAAUAAAAAAAUCUAAAAUUUUCAUCAUAUUUUUUGAUUUCUGUUAUUCAAUUUUUUUUUAGAUAAAAUAUAAGUUAAUAUAAUUGAUUCUCAUUUUGUGAUUACCAAAAUGAGUAAUCACAAAUUAAUCAAGCUAGCUUAGCAAGAAACUGGAAACUUUGCUGCUGUGGAGGAAACUGCUGCAAAAACCAUGAGAACUGUGGGAAUAAAAUAAAAUCUAAUGUGAUCAAUAUAAAAUAUUACAUAUUUUCAAAUAAUCAAGAGGAAAUUGAUUAAAAUGUAUAUUAUCUGGUAAUAAAGUCAUAAUGUUUUGUCUGAUAAUAUGUUUCAAAUGGUAUGAGACAGCAUUUAUGCUAAAUGAAUGAAGUAAUUAUUGAAUAGUGAAUAAAAAACAUUCUAAAAGUUGAUGCUUCUUUACAUAUUCUGUAGUAUUGUCUGUAGGUUUUCAAAAGGGGCCAUGAAAUGGAAAAGUUUGGGAACCCAUGCAUUAGGAGACGGCUCUACCUUCAUGUGCUGUCUCUUCUGUUUCAGUACUGACCAACAGCUUGACGCCACCGCCUGAGAAAUAAUAAGGAGCUGUUGAGCCAGCGGUUGUUGAUCACGUUCUGGAUUGAGAUGGGAGGAUUUUCCAGGUCCUCAAAGGAAUCCAUUAGGAUGAAGUCCAGAACAACGUCGUAGAAGCUCAGAUGCCUAACCUAGUGAGGAAGAGUGUGAAAUAUUAAACAUACAAAGAAGAACUGUGGUACAACAAUUUAAUAAUCUGGGUUUUCAAACAAACCCCUCGUGAAGCCAGUUCCAGCUCUGUGUCUUCCCAAUGAUCCGAAUGCUCCAGGAAGACAAUCAGCUCCUCAAACACUUCCUCAAAUCGCUUUGGACUCUGGAAAAACAGAAAGUCGGCCAUAACAGGAGAAAAACUCAACCAUUAAAUAUAAUUUAACACACAAAAGCCAUGUUUCAGACCUACUUUUUGGGCUUUGACUAUAAUGGAAGACAAGAUUUUCUUUCCAGUGUCAGCCAGAAACAUCCUGGUAGCCCUGUCACUCAAAAUGAGCUGAAGACAAAAUACCGUUUUAAUAUAUCUGAUCAGUUUUCUGCAGAUGAAACUGAGGUGAUGAUAAUGAAGUUGGACUGUACCUCACAUGCCUGCCGUACGCAGUGCAGCUUUGCCAGGAAAUCCAAGUCACCAAGACAUUCCAGUAUCUCAGUUCUGAAAAUUAUUGAGAACAAAACUUCACCCAACACCAAAAACACUGAGAGCAGCUGAGAUUUGUAUGUACAUAACAGUAACUUAAUGCUGUUUUUCUGGUUCUGUAAGAGUUUAAGAUUCUGUAAAAAUAUAAAAUGGAAACUCAUGAACACACAGUUUACUGCAUUUUAUAAACCCAUUUACUUAAGGUUUGCACACUUCCCAAUAUCUCUGCAUACCAUCUUUAUAAUUUGAUGUAGAAAUGUUGUUAUAGUGGUUGUACAUGUGUUCUUGUGUCCCCCACAUAAUAAAAUAAAUUCCUAGUCUUUGUAACAAAUAA